AUUCACGUAGUUUAAUAAAACAUUUUAUUUUCAAUAAAAAAAUGAAUAUAUUUCCGAGAAUA
This 62-nucleotide transfer RNA is filed under the name Opistoplatys sp. HL-2013. RNAcentral describes it as "tRNA-Glu". Lineage: Eukaryota; Metazoa; Arthropoda; Insecta; Hemiptera; Reduviidae. The record is from RNAcentral.